CUCAUCGAUGCCGACGGCGAGUGCGGCGGCGGCUCAUUUGAUCUAGCACCUUCGGUGUUCGAGUUGUAAUUUGAAGAUGGUACCUUGUGCCCUCUGCUGUUAUUGCUCCUGUGAACGGGCGCCAUAGAGGGGAGAAAUCCCGCGUCUGUGUAUGAGAGAAGCCCAUUCCUUAUGGUAAGGGACUAAUCCGAAAGAGUCCGAGUUGUUGGGAAAUGCGCAGGCUUCUAAGUGGGUGGUAAAUUCUCACUCUAAAAGCUAAAAUAUUGGCGAAAAGACCGAUAGCGAACCAGUCACGUGGAUGGGAAAGAUAGAAGACUCUGGAAGAGAGUGGAAAAGACCGUGAAUUUGUGAGGGAGGCCUGACACAACUGGGGUUCACAAUAUCUCCUCUGAGUGGCCUGAUUCCGGCCACUACUGUGAAAUUGCCUGAGGGUUCAUCGGAGGAAACUCGAUUCGCGGAACAGGCUCUCAAAGUCGCAGUAUACGCCCUUAAACACA
RNAcentral lists this ribosomal RNA (497 nucleotides) under Hansenula anomala. RNAcentral describes it as "eukaryotic LSU rRNA". The record is from RNAcentral. Lineage: Eukaryota; Fungi; Ascomycota; Saccharomycetes; Phaffomycetales; Wickerhamomycetaceae.